CAAUAGCGUAUAUUAAAGUUGUUGCAGUUAAAAGCUCGUAGUUGAAUUUCUGUACAGUCCCGGUUCUGGCUUCGGUCAAGCCGUGGAUUGUGCAUCCGCUUGCAAAUCUAGCUCGGCCUUCACUGGUCGACUAGGGGAGUAAGCCCUUUACUUUGAAAAAUUAGAGUGUUUCAGGCAGGCAAUGGCUCGAAUACAUUAGCAUGGAAUAAUGGAAUAGGACUUUUGUCCAUUUGGUUGGUUAUUGGACAUGAGUAAUGAUUAAAAGGGACAGUUGGGGGCAUUAGUAUUUAAUAGUCAGAGGUGAAAUUCUUGGAUUUAUUAAAGACUAACUUAUGCGAAAGCAUUUGCCAAGGAUGUUUUCAUUAAUCGAGAACGAAAGUUAGGGGAUCAAAGACGAUCAGAUACCAU
RNAcentral lists this ribosomal RNA (408 nucleotides) under uncultured eukaryote. RNAcentral describes it as "SSU rRNA". It matches the Rfam family "Eukaryotic small subunit ribosomal RNA", at positions 592 to 1018 of the family's 1831-position model. The record is from RNAcentral.